UAUCUCUGUAGAGUCUGCAUAUCAAUAAGCGGAGGAAAAGAAACUAACAAGGAUUCCCCUAGUAACGGCGAGUGAAGCGGGAAGAGCUCAAAUCUGAAAUCUUCAAGGUUUGACCUUGACGAAUUGUAGUUUAAAGAAGUGUUUUCGGUUAGAGGAGUAGUAAAAGUUCUUUGGAAUAGGACAUCAUAGAGGGUGAGAAUCCCGUAUUUGACUAUUCUUUCUAGCUUUGUGAUACACUUUCAAAGAGUCGGAUUGUUUGGGAAUGCAGUCCAAAAUGGGUGGUAAAUUUCAUCUAAAGCUAAAUAUUGGCGAGAGACCGAUAGCGAACAAGUACCGUGAGGGAAAGAUGAAAAGAACUUUGAAAAGAGAGUUAAACAGUACGUGAAAUUGUCAAAAGGGAAGCGUUUGACACCAGUGUUGUUUUUCCGAAAAUCAAUUAAAAAUUGAUUCAUGCCAGGUUGUAUUGACCUUAUCAGCUUGCAAUUUGGUUUUGGGUCUCUUUUUGAUGCACUUUUCGGUUAACAAGUCAACAUCAAUUUCCUUUGCUGUAAAAAGGUAAGAGGAAGGUGGCUUCAAUUUCGGUUGAAGUGUUUAUAGCCUUUUAUCUCUGCAGUCGGGGAGAUUGAGGUCUGCAGCGUAGAUCCUUCGGGGCUAGAUACAUUUAUGCUAAGUUAUAGCUUUUCAUAGACAACUUGUUGACUAUGUUUAGUCAUGUAGCUUACUCGUAAGUGCUAUUUUACCUACGCUUAGGAUGUUGAAGACUCUACAGAGAU
This 773-nucleotide ribosomal RNA is filed under the name uncultured Neocallimastigales. RNAcentral's name for it is "partial large subunit ribosomal RNA". It matches the Rfam family "Eukaryotic large subunit ribosomal RNA", at positions 24 to 624 of the family's 3401-position model. Lineage: Eukaryota; Fungi; Neocallimastigomycota; Neocallimastigomycetes; Neocallimastigales. The record is from RNAcentral.